This 61-nucleotide transfer RNA is filed under the name Dipodomys ordii (Ord's kangaroo rat). It matches the Rfam family "tRNA", at positions 6 to 65 of the family's 71-position model. Rfam says of the family: Transfer RNA (tRNA) molecules are approximately 80 nucleotides in length. Their secondary structure includes four short double-helical elements and three loops (D, anti-codon, and T loops). Further hydrogen bonds mediate the characteristic L-shaped molecular structure. tRNAs have two regions of fundamental functional importance: the anti-codon, which is responsible for specific mRNA codon recognition, and the 3' end, to which the tRNAs corresponding amino acid is attached (by aminoacyl-tRNA synthetases). tRNAs cope with the degeneracy of the genetic code in two manners: having more than one tRNA (with a specific anti-codon) for a particular amino acid; and 'wobble' base-pairing, i.e. permitting non-standard base-pairing at the 3rd anti-codon position. Lineage: Eukaryota; Metazoa; Chordata; Mammalia; Rodentia; Heteromyidae. The record is from Rfam by way of RNAcentral.
UGUAGCUCAGUGGUAGAGUACAUGCUUAGCAUGCCUGAGAACGUAGAUUUGAUCCCUACCA